ACAUAAUAAAUAAUCAUAUGGUGCCCUAACGGGUUAAUAGGGAAAGCGGUGCAAAACCGCUGCAGCCCCCGCUACUGUAUGUGGGUAUGAAAUCCGACAAGCCAUUGUUAUGCGAGAAGGCCGGAGAGUAAGAAGAUCCACGAGCCAGGAAACCUGCCUAUGAUAUAUUUUCUAC
This is a non-coding RNA of Clostridia bacterium BRH_c25, 175 nucleotides long. The record is from Rfam. Lineage: Bacteria; Bacillati; Bacillota; Clostridia.